Suricata suricatta (meerkat) is the source of this 1551-nucleotide long non-coding RNA. RefSeq lists it as uncharacterized. The transcript is spliced from 4 exons. Lineage: Eukaryota; Metazoa; Chordata; Mammalia; Carnivora; Herpestidae. The record is from RefSeq and is a predicted model, not a curated record.
AGCGGAACGGCGGAGACCGGUGCGAAAGCGCCGUGUGAGGGCGACUGGGACUGCUGAUGGGGCCGGGGCCGGCAGCGGAAGGGCUGGUGGCCUGAAGGCCGGCAGUAUUCGCUGCGACUCAGUCUCUCACAGUUUGCUCGCCGGCUGCCAACCACCCCGCUGACCUGACUGCUGAUGGGGGCUCCGGCGAAGGCGCGGUCUAUCCCGCCACCGCCCUCGGAAGGGCCUCAGGCAAGCAGCAGCCUCCACCAGCUGAAAGCCCCAGGAAGGGGGCUGGCCAGCACCACCUAGAGCCUGGGCCUUGGCUCCAGGGAGCUUAUGGAUUGGAGCAUCCCUAAUCCAUGACUGUGCAACCAAGAGCUCUGACUGAGUGACUCAAACCAGGCAGUUUAUUUUCCAGUUGCUGAGGUCAGAAAUCCACAAGCGGUAUAGGUAUAUGGUCCUGGGUAGGGUCUCACCUGAGAUGGUUGUCAGCCGGGCUGCAUCUUCUGGAACCUGGCCUGGGGCCACAGGACUUCCUCCCAAGAGGGUGCACGUUCAUGGCUGGCAGUCAGUGCAAACUGCCUCAGUUCUCCUCCACGUGGCCUACAAUUCCUGAGGGCCUCCCCAGCAGGUCCAACUUUAUAUGGUUACUAGAGAGAGAAAUGGAGAGAGAGAUUAAAGAGACAGAGAGCCAGUGAGCACAAAGUGUGUAUGAGACGGAAGCUGCAGACCUGCCAUCACCUCAUUUUGGAAUUCUUGGACAUUUCCUUAUUGCUGCCGUAGUCCAUUAGUCACUCCCAGGAAAGGGAUUCCACAAAGCCAUGAAAAUGGGAGGUCAUCUUAGAGGUGCCCACCACUGACCUUGGGGCAGGUCAACAUUGUGUUUGCAUUCCUCCUGGGCCCCACCCCUGCACUGAAGAGGAGGCUCUCCAUCAUAGGUUCUGAUCGCUCACUGAUGAUCUCUCUCUCAUCUUGGAAUGUGUUUCCACGUUGCCUUCAUCCACGGAGGGGAGGAUGGUCCUACUUUGUGCUGCAUCUCCAUCCCUAGGAGCUGAGCGGCCAUUGAAUGCUGAGAUGCUUCCCCUAUGGAUAUCCUGCUCAUGGAAUACUUCUGGUCAACUCUGAACAGGGGUUAAGGGCACCUGUGUAAAGGAACAUAGGCUGUUAUGGAGGGAGCCCAGAGAACAGAUUCAAUCAGAGAGGGUAGUCAUGCUUGGAAGGGAAACCAGGUCCUGUGAGCAGAUCUUUCAGAGUCUCCAGAAUGAGACCAGCAGUGAGAGAUGCAUUUCACCUAGUAACUACAUCCUCAACAUGCACACAUACCCAUAUACCUGAAAAAGAAGGUUUUGCAAAAAUUUACCUACCCUCCAUUGUGUAUUCUCUAACAGUGGGUAGCUAGUUUUCAACUCUUGUUAUAAUCCACCAAAUAGAUUCCAUCCCCUAAAAGUGGAAUGGAAAACACUGAUUUGUGAAUUUCCCACGCAGGGUCCUAAAUAAUUCCUGCCAUGCCCAACUAUCUUGAGCCUUGCGGGAUGGAAUCUGAAACAUCGAGAAUAUCAUGAUCUUGAA